UAGUGUAGUGCUAUAUAAGUAUAAAAUAAUGGAGAGGUUCACUUGUGUUGUUACACUCAAUUGAUGGGGUAAGUGAACACCUCCACUAUUUUAUACUUACAUAGCGCUCCUCU
This is a non-coding RNA of Pelobates cultripes (western spadefoot toad), 113 nucleotides long. Lineage: Eukaryota; Metazoa; Chordata; Amphibia; Anura; Pelobatidae. The record is from the annotation of a GenBank genome assembly.